Molecule: ribosomal RNA, 500 nt
Filed under: uncultured bacterium
Lineage: Bacteria
Description: partial 16S ribosomal RNA
Rfam family: Bacterial small subunit ribosomal RNA
Source: RNAcentral
GACGAACGCUGGCGGCGUGCUUAACACAUGCAAGUCGAACGGGCCUGUCUUCUUUUUUGGGGGGUGGGUUGAGUGGCGAACGGGUGAGUAUCACGUGAGUAACCUGCCUUUCGGUCCUGGAUAACCGCUUGAAAGGGCGGCUAAUACGGGGUGGUCCGGUUGGUCCGCAUGGGCUGGUCGGGAUAGAUUCACUGUUUUUGGUGUUUCGGCGGGGGAUGGGGUCGCGGCCUAUCAGCUUGUUGGUGGGGUGAUGGCCUACCAAGGCGGUGACGGGUAGCCGGGCUGGGAGGGGGGGCGGCCAGACUGGGACUGAGGUACGGCCCAGACUCCUGCGGGAGGCAGCAGUGGGGGGUAUUGCACGAUGGGCGGAAGCCGGAUGCAGCGACGUCGCGUGAGGAAUGGUGGCGUUCGGGUUGUGAACCUCUGUUUCCGGUGGUGAAGGCCCUGUCCGUGUGGUGGGGUUGACGGUAGCCGGGGAUGAAGCGCCGGCUAACUACGUG